UGUUAAUAAACCUCAAACCUUAAUAUUUAAGGGAGUAAAAGUGAGAUUUUGACUUCCUUAGGAGAAUAUCUAUGUGUGCACAACUAUUGGGGGCAGCUAUUAGUGUGCAGAAUUAUUAUGCAACUAAAUUAAAAAUGAAAAAUUUUCCAUCUCACUUGUUUAUUUUCACUUGUUAAAGUGAGAAUGAUAAACAAACAACUCAAUUUACAAAUAAAAAUUGUUGAAAUUUAAAAAAAAAAAAUCAGUGACCAAUAUAGCCACCCUUCUUUUCAUUAACAGUCAUAAGCUUUCCAUUCAUGGAAUCUUUCAGUUUCUUG
Xyrichtys novacula (pearly razorfish) is the source of this 317-nucleotide non-coding RNA. Lineage: Eukaryota; Metazoa; Chordata; Actinopteri; Labriformes; Labridae. The record is from the annotation of a GenBank genome assembly.